RNAcentral lists this transfer RNA (65 nucleotides) under Zorka agnesae. RNAcentral's name for it is "tRNA-Val". The record is from RNAcentral. Lineage: Eukaryota; Metazoa; Arthropoda; Insecta; Hemiptera; Cicadellidae.
CAGAAUUUAGCUUAUUUAAAGCUUAUUUUUUACAUUAAUAGGAAAAAUUAAUUAUUUUUUUCUGA